GGGGACAACAUUUGGAAACGAAUGCUAAUACCGCAUAAAAACUUUAAACACAAGUUUUAAGUUUGAAAGAUGCAAUUGCAUCACUCAAAGAUGAUCCCGCGUUGUAUUAGCUAGUUGGUGAGGUAAAGGCUCACCAAGGCGAUGAUACAUAGCCGACCUGAGAGGGUGAUCGGCCACAUUGGGACUGAGACACGGCCCAAACUCCUACGGGAGGCAGCAGUAGGGAAUCUUCGGCAAUGGACGAAAGUCUGACCGAGCAACGCCGCGUGAGUGAAGAAGGUUUUCGGAUCGUAAAACUCUGUUGGUAGAGAAGAACGUUGGUGAGAGUGGAAAGCUCAUCAAGUGACGGUAACUACCCAGAAAGGGACGGCUAACUACGUGCCAGCAGCCGCGGUAAUACGUAGGUCCCGAGCGUUGUCCGGAUUUAUUGGGCGUAAAGCGAGCGCAGGUGGUUUAUUAAGUCUGGUGUAAAAGGCAGUGGCUCAACCAUUGUAUGCAUUGGAAACUGGUAGACUUGAGUGCAGGAGAGGAGAGUGGAAUUCCAUGUGUAGCGGUGAAAUGCGUAGAUAUAUGGAGGAACACCGGUGGCGAAAGCGGCUCUCUGGCCUGUAACUGACACUGAGGCUCGAAAGCGUGGGGAGCAAACAGGAUUAGAUACCCUGGUAGUCCACGCCGUAAACGAUGAGUGCUAGAUGUAGGGAGCUAUAAGUUCUCUGUAUCGCAGCUAACGCAAUA
This 735-nucleotide ribosomal RNA is filed under the name Lactococcus lactis. RNAcentral's name for it is "bacterial SSU rRNA". It matches the Rfam family "Bacterial small subunit ribosomal RNA", at positions 139 to 862 of the family's 1533-position model. The record is from RNAcentral. Lineage: Bacteria; Bacillati; Bacillota; Bacilli; Lactobacillales; Streptococcaceae.